RNAcentral lists this long non-coding RNA (3281 nucleotides) under Sus scrofa (pig). RNAcentral describes it as "lncRNA (ENSSSCG00000043207.1)". Lineage: Eukaryota; Metazoa; Chordata; Mammalia; Artiodactyla; Suidae. The record is from RNAcentral.
CGGGCGGUGAUGGGCAGACUGACGGAGUAACUGCAUCCCGAAUCACCCAGAUAAAGGAGGCUCACAGCCACACAUGUUGCCGGCUCUUCCCAAAGAGGGACUGAAAGUCUUAGGGUGAAUUGGUCUGGGGAGGGGGAUGUGUGGGAAUCCCAUGAGAACUGUCGCAGCUUCCAUGUGUCUUUGGGGGUUUGUGGAGGGGUGAGCGCCCUGUGCUCGGCCGUCUGCCCCCUUGAGAGGCUGACGAACUCCCGCAGUGAAGCACCGUCGACGGCCUGAAGCGGUCGCCCAGCCCCAGGGGCAGGCGGAGCUGUCAGCGGGUCCUUGGUCUUGCCCAGCCUGGCCUGACUCAAUGGCCGCAGUACUGGUGGUGACGGAGGGAGCUGCCUCGGGGGCCGCGGGAGUGGAGAAGUCGCUUCCCUUGUGGGAAAGGCCCCCGUCCGUGGCUCGAGGGCAUUGGGUGCGGUGGUCUUCACGGUUCUUCUUGACGAUUCUGUUUCUUUAGAUGUAGUGCAGGUGACUUAACGGAAGGGAGUUGUGAAAGUGUACCCUCAGAAGGGAAAGGACCUUGGGAGGCCCGGGGUGGAGGAAGGGAUGAAGAACCAAGAAAGCACAUUCGAGGGCAAAUAACUGGCGCAGCGGACUAAGGAUGUGGCGUUGCUGUGGCCCAGCUCGCAGCCGAGGCUCAGGUUACAUCCCAGGCCCGGGGGCUUUCACGUGCCACGGGGGAAAGAAAUAAGUAAAUAAAUAACCACUGAUUGCUUUGGUUUUUGGUUUGUUUUUUAAAAAAGGAGCUCCUCUUGUGACUCAGUGGUAACGAACCUGCCUGAUAUCCAGGGGGGCGGUGGCUCGAUCCCCGGCCCCACUCAGUGGGCUGAGCAUCCAAAGGUGCCGUGAGCCGUGGUGUAAGUCCUAGACGCAGUUCAGAUCCGGCGUGGCUGUGGCUGUGGCUGUGGUGUAGGCCUGCAGCUGCAGCUCUGAUUCGACCCCUAGCCUGGGAACCAACAUAUGCUUCAGGUGUGGCCCUAAAAGAGGAAAAAAAGAAAAAAGAAAGAAAUUCUGGACUUCUCUUGCGGCAGAAUGGGUUAAGGGUCCACCAUUGUCACUGCAGUGGCCUCCGUUGCUGCUGUAGCAUGGGUUCAGUCCCUGGCCCAGGUGGCAAAAGAAAAGGAAGGAAGAAUGAAACUUCCAGGAGACCUGGAGAGUGCUAAACAAAGUGCUUUAGUUUUAUCAUGAUGACCAAAAACCUCUCCAAUUUCAUGGUCAAGUCUCAUGUUUUUCUCACGGUUGCUGCACGUUGUGCAUUAUCUGAUUUCUGGCUUUAUAUAAAGUUAAUACGGCAACUGACAAAAAAACGGAAGCAGGUCAAUGGCUUAGAAAAGGCCCAUCGGGGAGUUCCCGUCCUGGCUCAGCAGAAACAAAUCUGACUAGUGUCCAUGUAGAUGCAGGUUUGAUCUCUGGCCUCGCUCAUGGGUUAAGGAUCCGGCAUUGCCAUGAGCUGUGGUGUAGGUUACAGAUGUGGCUCGGAUCCUGUGUUGCUGUGGCUCUGGCGUAGGCUGGCAGUUGUAGCUCCAAUUAGACCCCUAGACUGGGAACCUCUGUGUGCCACAGUGCGGCCCUACAGACAAAAGACCCCCAAAAAAGGGGGGAUUAAAAUGCACUGAUCCUGAUAGGAUAGCAGGUACAUGUUUGGUGGUUGAUGCUGAAAUUAAUGGUUUGAAGGAACCCUUGAAGAAAUAACUCCUCAAUAACAUUUUUAGGAGGUUAUAACUCAUUUAGUCAGGAGUUCUUUAAAAUUAUACACAUGCUUAAAAGAAUAUCAACCACACACACAUACACGAAUACUUCUAAAGAGCCUUAGACUGGAAGUCUGAUAUGUUAUUUUUGGGGGAGAGGGUGACUGUGGCAUGCAAAAGUUCCUGGGCCAGGGAUUGAACCCUUGCCCACGUGACCCUACUGGAUCCUCAAAUGCUAGGCCACCGGGAAAGUCCUAGAAAAUAGAUGGCAUGCGUGAAUGUGUAGUGUAUGCAACAGAGGAAUGGGCAAGGUUGUCCCCAGAAUCUGUCUCAAGCAGUCUUCUACAGGAGCGUUUUAAAAUUUCACAUCCAGAAAUAACAGACGUAUUUCUGAAGGUAAAGUGGCCAUUCCAGUUGACUUGACUACAGUGUAUGAAGGAAAAGAGGGUUUUUUCAAGAAGGAAUCAACAAGGAGUUCUCUCGUGCUGCAGGCAGUUAAGGAUCCAGCAGGGUCACUGCAGCAGCUCAGGUUGUUGCUAUGGCGAGGGGUUAGUCCCUGGCCUGGAAAUGUCCAUACGACGUGGAUGCAGCCAAUAAAUAAAAAAAAAAAAAAAUCAUAAAUAAAGGGGACACUUAGUGCAUCUUUUCUUCCACAGUAUUUUGUGAGCUUGUUGAUUUUCUCAAGCUUUUCUGCCGAAAGGGAUUGACUGGGACAGAAGAACUCGUGCCCCAAACUGCCUUCCACCUCCAGGCAGGAUGUUUUGUGUUUUGUUUUUUUUUUCUCCAAAUUUCUCAUUUUAGCUUAAAAGACAAAAUCUGCAUUCAUAAUAACUUCCUGCUAAGAAUGUUGGGGGACGACUGCACCCGCAGCAUAAAUAAGUUCCCAGGCCAGGGGUGGAAUCAGAGCUGCAGCCGCCGGCCUACACCACAGCCACAGCAACACCGGAUCUGAGCUGCAUCUGCCCCUUACACCACAGCUUAUGGCAACACUGGAUCCUUAAUCCAUUGAGCGAGGCCAGGGAUCAACCCCGCAUCCUCGUGGAUCCUAGUUGGGUUCGGUAACCACCGAGCCACAAAGGGAACUCCUCAUAGUCCUAUUUUAAAGUCUGUUGCUCGUGAGGAUAGUGUGGCAGGGUUGUUGCUUGUAAAUUUCAGGAUGCUCGCAUCCGUUAUACAGCGGUAAGGAGUAAAUGAACUGUCAUGCAGACAAGCCAUGGAGCGCACAAUAAAUGUUUCUUAAAAAGUAUAGGCUAUUAUCCUUUGGUGCCUAAUAGGUGCCAUUGCAUAUAAAAUGAAGGCCAGAGGCUAAUGGAUUGACCUUAGAGAAUGCUGACUGUACCAGGACAGCUUAUGUCAAGUUGUGACGCUGUAUCAAGGCUGCAGUGCCGGAUCCUUUAACCCACUGAGUUGGGCUGGCGGUUGAACCUGCACCUCCACAGUAAUCUAAGCCCCUGCAGAUUCUUAACCCACUGUGCCCCAGCAGGAACGCCUUCAUUUAUAAUUCUUUCAUAUUCAUGCAGGUGUUAGUUGGGGCCCAUGUGCUGUAAC